GACGAACGCUGGCGGCGUGCUUAACACAUGCAAGUCGAACGGAAAGGCCCUGCUUUUGUGGGGUGCUCGAGUGGCGAACGGGUGAGUAACACGUGAGUAACCUGCCCUUGACUUUGGGAUAACUUCAGGAAACUGGGGCUAAUACCGGAUAGGAGCUCCUGCUGCAUGGUGGGGGUUGGAAAGUUUCGGCGGUUGAGGAUGGACUCGCGGCUUAUCAGCUUGUUGGUGGGGUAGUGGCUUACCAAGGCUUUGACGGGUAGCCGGCCUGAGAGGGUGACCGGCCACAUUGGGACUGAGAUACGGCACAGACUCCUACGGGAGGCAGCAGUGGGGAAUAUUGCACAAUGGGCGGAAGCCUGAUGCAGCAACGCCGCGUGCGGGAUGACGGCCUUCGGGUUGUAAACCGCUUUCGCCUGUGACGAAGCGUGAGUGACGGUAAUGGGUAAAGAAGCACCGGCUAACUACGUG
RNAcentral lists this ribosomal RNA (468 nucleotides) under uncultured bacterium. RNAcentral describes it as "partial 16S ribosomal RNA". It matches the Rfam family "Bacterial small subunit ribosomal RNA", at positions 28 to 507 of the family's 1533-position model. The record is from RNAcentral.